UGGGGAAUAUUGGGCAAUGGGCGAAAGCCUGACCCAGCCAUGCCGCGUGAGUGAUGAAGGCCUUAGGGUUGUAAAACUCUUUCGCUGGGGAAGAUAAUGACGGUACCCAGUAAAGAAGCCCUGGCUAAUUUCGUGCCAGCAGCCGCGGUAAUACGAAAGGGGCUAGCGUUGUUCGGAAUUACUGGGCGUAAAGCGCGCGUAGGCGGCAUGCCAAGUUGGGGGUGAAAUCCCGGGGCUCAACCCCGGAACUGCCUCCAAAACUGGCAAGCUAGAGGAUGUGAGAGGAUAGUGGAAUUCCGAGUGUAGAGGUGAAAUUCGUAGAUAUUCGGAAGAACACCAGUGGCGAAGGCGACUCACUGGACAGUUAUUGACGCUGAGGUGCGAAAGCGUGGGGAGCAAACAGGAUUAGAUACCCCUGUAGUCC
Molecule: ribosomal RNA, 424 nt
Filed under: uncultured prokaryote
Description: bacterial SSU rRNA
Rfam family: Bacterial small subunit ribosomal RNA
Source: RNAcentral